CCUACGGGGGGCAGCAGUGAGGAAUAUUGGUCAAUGGCCGGAAGGCUGAACCAGCCAUGCCGCGUGAAGGUCAGUGCCCUAUGGGCGUUAAACUUCUUUUGUGCGGGAGCAAUAAUGGUCACGUGUGGCCAGACGAGAGUACCGUACGAAUAAGCAUCGGCUAACUCCGUGCCAGCAGCCGCGGUAAUACGGGGGAUGCAAGCGUUAUCCGGAGUUAUUGGGUUUAAGGGGUGCGUAGGGUGGGAGGUAAGUCAGCGGUGAAAUGCCCCCGCUCAACGGGGUGAAGUGCCAUUGAUACUGCCAUGCUGGAAUGCGGAUGCCGUGGGAGGAAUGUGUGGUGUAGCGGUGAAAUGCAUAGAUAUCACACAGAACACCGAUUGCGAAGGCAUCUCACGAAUCCGCGAUUGACGCUGAUGCACGAAAGCGUGGGUAUCAAACAGGAUUAGAUACCCGGGUAGUC
Molecule: ribosomal RNA, 460 nt
Filed under: uncultured bacterium
Lineage: Bacteria
Description: partial 16S ribosomal RNA
Rfam family: Bacterial small subunit ribosomal RNA
Source: RNAcentral